UACGUAGGGUGCAAGCGUUGUCCGGAAUUAUUGGGCGUAAAGAGCUCGUAGGCGGUUUGUCGCGUCGGCUGUGAAAACUUGGGGCUCAACCCCAAGCCUGCAGUCGAUACGGGCAGACUAGAGUGUGGUAGGGGAGACUGGAAUUCCUGGUGUAGCGGUGAAAUGCGCAGAUAUCAGGAGGAACACCGGUGGCGAAGGCGGCUCUCUGGACCACAACUGACGCUGAGGCGCGAAAGCUAGGGGAGCAAACAGG
RNAcentral lists this ribosomal RNA (253 nucleotides) under uncultured bacterium. Its description in RNAcentral is "partial 16S ribosomal RNA". It matches the Rfam family "Bacterial small subunit ribosomal RNA", at positions 524 to 776 of the family's 1533-position model. The record is from RNAcentral.